GACUGGUGGAGUCGAAGAAACAGAGCGACGAGGGCUUUCUGAAGGCUUUGGAAUUUCAUUAUCAAUAAUAUCUUGUACCUUCGAUCUAGCAACAUCGGCUCCUUUGGAAGAAGCACUUUCGGCUGUCACAAUGGUAUCUUUGACAGAAGCAGCACCAUUGUCAGCAUCAGUAACAACGGUUUGAACUACACUGGCGUCGGGAAUUUGUGCACUUUCGAAAGUAG
Schizosaccharomyces pombe (fission yeast) is the source of this 224-nucleotide non-coding RNA. Lineage: Eukaryota; Fungi; Ascomycota; Schizosaccharomycetes; Schizosaccharomycetales; Schizosaccharomycetaceae. The record is from the annotation of a GenBank genome assembly.